Molecule: ribosomal RNA, 274 nt
Filed under: uncultured bacterium
Lineage: Bacteria
Description: partial 16S ribosomal RNA
Rfam family: Bacterial small subunit ribosomal RNA
Source: RNAcentral
AUACGAAAGGGGCAAGCGUUGGCCGGAAUAACUGGGCGUAAAGCGCACGUAGGCGGAAUGUUAAGUUAGAGGUGAAAUCCCAGGGCUCAACCCUGGAACUGCCUUUAAUACUGGCAAUCUAGAGACCGAGAGAGGUGAGUGGAAUUCCGAGUGUAGAGGUGAAAUUCGUAGAUAUUCGGAGGAACACCAGUGGCGAAGGCGGCUCACUGGCUCGGUACUGACGCUGAGGUGCGAAAGCGUGGGGAGCAAACAGGAUUAGAAACCCUAGUAGUCC